This 349-nucleotide long non-coding RNA is filed under the name Chinchilla lanigera (long-tailed chinchilla). Its description in RNAcentral is "lncRNA (ENSCLAG00000023120.1)". The record is from RNAcentral. Lineage: Eukaryota; Metazoa; Chordata; Mammalia; Rodentia; Chinchillidae.
GGAUUGUAAAAUUUGGUGGAAAGUUAAGAGAUUUUAGCAGAUAUUUUACUUAUAACUCAGCCCUUUUUCUCUCGGUGCCUUUUUCAAUUAUAGGAUUUCCAAAUCUAUAGCUGUUUGGCUAAUCUGUGGGCAUCUUCUGUGAUGUCAAGUCCCUGCAGCCUCAGCAUCCUUAUCUCCACACACCAUAAGCAUGCAGAUAUUUUGCGGGGAGAGGAUGUCUGGUCAGACGUUGAGUUUGUCUGGUACAAUUUAUUCUACUAAUGAGACAUCUUCGGGCAGCAGCCACGUUGACAGUAAAAGUAAUAGCUCUACGAAAGCGGUAACCUGUAGCCAUAUAUUGCUCCUCUGA